Molecule: long non-coding RNA, 1661 nt
Filed under: Capsella rubella
Lineage: Eukaryota; Viridiplantae; Streptophyta; Magnoliopsida; Brassicales; Brassicaceae
Description: long non-coding RNA (CRUB_LNC004436)
Source: RNAcentral
UUUUUUUUUUUUUUGCUAAGAAUGUAAAUAUUUCAUUAAAAAUGAAAAUGUUUAGGUUUACAAUCAUAGAUUAUAAUCCUAUAAAAAUGGUCCCAUGGCAAAAAAGAUAAAAACAUGGAAGCAUAAUUCAUAAAAAUGAUCUCAGUCUAUCCACUCAACAUAGACACGAGGAGUUUGACGAAGUGAUAACGAUAAAGGUGUUCUUCAGGAGUGCCAAGCUGAAGACGAAGAACGAGAACAGAUUGAAGAAGCCACAAUUCUCAAGCAAAAGACGCACUAGAAGCCUUUCAAUGGAGGUUCAGGACUAAGCUGUCAACGGCGAAGUUUACAGAGCCCUCGAUCACAUACGUCCCCGGCAUCAUGUGAGAGUGGCUCAUCUAACAACAUCCAUGAGCUUUCCUAGAAUGAAACCUCACAAACUAAAAACUGCAAACGGUGUGAGCUCCCCCUACCAAGUCCAUUCCCCGGAGUCAGCUAGUACAGAGCUAAAUACUCAUCUUAACACCACACCGUAAGCUAUUAGUCUUACUAGCUCCUCUAGCUCACCCAGCAAGCAAAAUAACAGGCAGAAACUUUCUGGUACACUAACUUCAACUCACAGCACCAGCAGCAACAAGACACAACCAAUAUCAGGGCAAAAAGCAAACAACGAAACAAGAAAUACCAGUAAUACUCACGAAAUGGAGAUGUUAUAAAGAACCACCACCGGUAGCCAAAACAUCCCAAAGCAGCAACACCGGAGCUCCUGAAAAGCUCAAAAAGGAGCAGCCAAGACAAUAAACAAUGCCCAACGCGUCAAAAAAGACACUCUCCUACAAGAUAUGCUGCUGUCUUCAGACAUAUUUGACCAACAGAGAAGCGUCCAAACGAUCGCCGAGCCUUAUUGUCGAGAAAGAAGACCUAAACUGAAGCUUACUAGAAGCAUUGUCAAGAAAACCUAUCCGAAGGAGAGAAGCUAGAGUGGUGAGGCUUCGACAUCUAAACGAGACGAAGUGAUAAGCCGAGAAAAACAAACACGACUCGCUCCGAAUCAGACAUCGAAUCCACUCGCAAGGCUAAGCUCCAAAGGACGAGAUCGAACCACACGGUGAAAACAGAGACUGCAAAACGUCAGGAAACAAACGCCGUCCUCAAGCGAAAUAGACCGUUUGAUAUCCCGUCUAAUCACCGGUUAAUGUGGGUCGAAACACGGCGAUCUCCGAAGCGCAGAGCUAAGGAGAAAUAGAAACCGUUGAAACACGGCAGAUCGUCACCACAGCUGUAGCAAAACCGCCGAGAGGUGUUUGGUCCGCCGCUAGGAAUCAAAGAGGUGGAGCCAGAUCUACAAGUAGAUCUCGCCGGUCGAAAUUGCGUGGCGAAGAGAGAGGAAAUCAAACUCCGUCGUAGCCUCAAGUCGUCGACUAGCGAGAGGGGUCAAAACGGAGGAGCACCCAUCCACCUCGAGAGGCCGACACGCACGGCGGAGCUCCAACCAAAGCGCCGCGAGAAAUCAAGACAAAUUCCUGAAACGAUCGAGAGCUUCAUGCGCAGAACCGAAACGACAAGCAAACAAACAGAAGCAAAAGAGCCCUCUCACGGCGUCGGUCGCAACCGAACACCGGAGAGGCAAGCAAGAUAGCGGCUGGUGAAAACUUUCGACGAUUAGGUUUUUGGCAAUCGCC